This 274-nucleotide long non-coding RNA is filed under the name Populus tremula. RNAcentral's name for it is "long non-coding RNA (PTRE_LNC003173)". The record is from RNAcentral. Lineage: Eukaryota; Viridiplantae; Streptophyta; Magnoliopsida; Malpighiales; Salicaceae.
CUUAGGUGCCAAAGCCAUUCUUCACUGUUGGUGAUGGCACUCAAACAUCUUGUUGCAUCAUACUGGAUGUUCAAAGGAAACAUCCUAUUCUUGGACAUUUUCACGUAGGCCAUUAAUCUCCCAUUGUUGUCUCUAAUUGUCAGAUGACAAUUCUUCGAGUAAAAACUAUAUCCUCUCUCCAAAAGUUGGCCUAGGCUGAUCAGGUUCUGCUUUAUGGCUGGGACAUAAUACACAUCGGCGAUGUAGCUGGAAUCGCCAUUCUUCAACUUGACUG